GAUGAACGCUGGCGGCGUGCCUAAUACAUGCAAGUCGAGCGAACGGACGAGAUGCUUGCUUCUCUGAUGUUAGCGGCGGACGGGUGAGUAACACGUGGUUAACCUACCUAUAAGACUGGGAUGACUUCGGGAAACCGGAGCUAAUACCGGAUAAUAUUUUGAACCUCAUGGUUCAAAAGUGAAAGACGGUCUUGCUGUCACUUAUAGAUGGAUCCGCGCUGCAUUAGCUAGUUGGUAAGGUAACGGCUUACCAAGGCAACGAUGCAUAGCCGACCUGAGAGGGUGAUCGGCCACACUAGAACGGAGACACGGCCCAGACUCCUACGGGAGGCAGCAGUAGGGAAUCUUCCGGAAUGGGCGAAUGCCUGACGGAGCAACGCCGCGUGAUGGAUGAAGGUCGUCGGAUCGUAAAACUCUGUUAUUAGGGAAGAACAUAUGUGUAAGUAACUGUGCACAUCUUGACGGUACCUAAACAGAAAGCCACGGCUAACUACGUG
Molecule: ribosomal RNA, 497 nt
Filed under: uncultured bacterium
Lineage: Bacteria
Description: partial 16S ribosomal RNA
Rfam family: Bacterial small subunit ribosomal RNA
Source: RNAcentral